AUCGAACGCUGGCGGCAGGCCUAACACAUGCAAGUCGAGCGAGCGGCGGACGGGUGAGUAAUGUCUGGUAAACUGUCUGAUGGAGGGGGAUAACUACUGGAAACGGUAGCUAAUACCGUAUACCAUCAGAUGUGCCCAGAUGGGAGUAGCUAGUAGGUGGGGUAACGGCUCACGUAGGCGACGAUCCCUAGCUGGUCUGCGAGGCUGACCAGACACACUGGGACUGAGACACGGUCCAGACUCCUCCGGGAGGCAGCAGUGGGGAAUAUUGCACAAUGGGCGCAAGCCUGAUGCAGCCAUGCCGAGUGUGUGAAGAAGGCCUUAGGGUUGGAAAGCACUAUCAGCGGGGAGGGGUUACCCGCAGAAGAAGCACCGGCUAACUCCGUGCCAGCAGCCGCGGUAAUAC
This 406-nucleotide ribosomal RNA is filed under the name uncultured bacterium. RNAcentral's name for it is "partial 16S ribosomal RNA". It matches the Rfam family "Bacterial small subunit ribosomal RNA", at positions 29 to 526 of the family's 1533-position model. The record is from RNAcentral.